UCGCUGUGAUGACGAUAUUUUCCUGCCAUUCGUAGUUUCCACCAGAGGUCAUUUGACCAAAGAUGGCUUAAUACUUCCUUGGAUGUCUGAGCGA
Small nucleolar RNA from Hippocampus zosterae (dwarf seahorse), 94 nucleotides. RefSeq annotates it as small nucleolar RNA SNORD14. NCBI's taxonomy places the organism in Eukaryota, Metazoa, Chordata, Actinopteri, Syngnathiformes, Syngnathidae. The record is from RefSeq and is a predicted model, not a curated record. The transcript has a single exon.